RNAcentral lists this ribosomal RNA (610 nucleotides) under Salmonella enterica. RNAcentral describes it as "partial 23S ribosomal RNA". It matches the Rfam family "Bacterial large subunit ribosomal RNA", at positions 583 to 1194 of the family's 2925-position model. Lineage: Bacteria; Pseudomonadati; Pseudomonadota; Gammaproteobacteria; Enterobacterales; Enterobacteriaceae. The record is from RNAcentral.
CUUUUAUGGGGUGACUGCGUACCUUUUGUAUAAUGGGUCAGCGACUUAUAUUCUGUAGCAAGGUUAACCGUAUAGGGGAGCCGGAGGGAAACCGAGUCUUAACCGGGCGUUAAGUUGCAGGGUAUAGACCCGAAACCCGGUGAUCUAGCCAUGGGCAGGUUGAAGGUUGGGUAACACUAACUGGAGGACCGAACCGACUAAUGUUGAAAAAUUAGCGGAUGACCUGUGGCUGGGGGUGAAAGGCCAAUCAAACCGGGAGAUAGCUGGUUCUCCCCGAAAGCUAUUUAGGUAGCGCCUCGUGAAUUCAUCUCCGGGGGUAGAGCACUGUUUCGGCUAGGGGGUCAUCCCGACUUACCAACCCGAUGCAAACUGCGAAUACCGGAGAAUGUUAUCACGGGAGACACACGGCGGGUGCUAACGUCCGUCGUGAAGAGGGAAACAACCCAGACCGCCAGCUAAGGUCCCAAAGUCAUGGUUAAGUGGGAAACGAUGUGGGAAGGCCCAGACAGCCAGGAUGUUGGCUUAGAAGCAGCCAUCAUUUAAAGAAAGCGUAAUAGCUCACUGGUCGAGUCGGCCUGCGCGGAAGAUGUAACGGGGCUAAACCAUGCAC